AGCCUUUAGAGAGGAUUAAAGGUUAUACCUGCCCAAUGUUAUAUUAAUGGCCGCGGUACUUUGACCGUGCUAAGGUAGCACAAUCAAUUGGCCCUUAAUUAGGGUCAGGCAUGAAUGGAGUUACGGGGCUUAGCUGUCUCUAAACUAUUUAAUUGAAGUUGCUGUAUAGGUGAAAAAGCCUAUAUUAAGAAAAAAGACGAGAAGACCCUUAGAGUUUUACUUAAAAAAGAGUAUUAUUUCUUUACUAGUUUUGUUGGGGCAACAUAGGAGAAGAAUUAAACCUCCUAAAAGAUAUAAACCGAUGUUUUUAAAUAUGGACAAACUACCUUAGGGAUAACAGCAUAAUUUUAAAAGUAAGUUUGUGACCUCGAUGUUGGACUAGGGAACUUAAGGGCUAGCCGCCUUUUGGUAAGGUUCUGUUCGAACUAUAAUUCCU
RNAcentral lists this ribosomal RNA (436 nucleotides) under Chromodoris willani. RNAcentral describes it as "partial 16S ribosomal RNA". It matches the Rfam family "Bacterial large subunit ribosomal RNA", at positions 1824 to 2596 of the family's 2925-position model. The record is from RNAcentral. Lineage: Eukaryota; Metazoa; Mollusca; Gastropoda; Nudibranchia; Chromodorididae.